This is a non-coding RNA of Delphinapterus leucas (beluga whale), 1412 nucleotides long. The record is from RefSeq and is a predicted model, not a curated record. Lineage: Eukaryota; Metazoa; Chordata; Mammalia; Artiodactyla; Monodontidae.
CUGAAAAUCACACGGGAACAUGGACUCUGCUAAGGACCGCGAUUCUGAACAUGUGCAGAGAAGUGCAGCACGACUGCAAAUUCUCAGCUCGUUCAGUUGCUGUCUUUCCAUAGCUCACUUCAGAGUGGAUAUUGUUGAGGAAAGCGUAUUAUACCACGCGCUUUCCCUUCAGAGAGCCACAGCAGAAAGUAGUCUAACCGUGGGAUGAGAGUCGGGGAUAAGUAUUGGGGUUCUCGGUUUGGAGGAGGAAGAUCACAGAGGUGAAGUGUCCUUCUCAUCAUAUCUUAUCAAGGGUGCCCACUAACAACAUGACUGAUCACUGUUGAUGUUGACCUCGAUCACCUGGCUGAGGUAUGGAUAACACACUUGAUUCAUGUUGACUGACAUUAUGGAAAUAAGUGUUAGACACGUGGAAUCUGAAUUCUAUUUUAAUUUCAUUUGCAUUGAAUAGAAUGAUUAUUGGAGCCUGAAGUCUUCUCUUCAGUGUGGAGCUGAGUCAGCAAUCUAUGAUUACUCUGCCUAAAGUCAUAAAAUAGACUAAUGAAACAUGAUAGGUAUAACUGGUAAAUUAUAAAGCCGUAUAUAUGUGAGGUUUAAAAUAUUAUUCUGGAAAGAAUCCAUCUGCAUCAGUGUGCUAGGAUAAUAGUAAUUAGCUUUACAGGUUAAUGGAAAACUAGUGUUAUUUAUGAAACACCAUAAGGAACGAUUCAUUAUUCCUCAUGGUAUUAAUUUUGCAAAUACCUGGAAAGCCUCCUUUAAUUAUCAAAAUUGUACAAGCCUUCUCCCUGAGCCAGAGCUAGAUCCUUAUUCUGCUUUUUUGUCAAAUCUAUUCUAAUCUUCCAAAUGCCCCAUUUGGGGGCUCUCUUCACUAUGUAUCAUCCAUACUUUUCAGACCAGGGCUGCUUCCUUAACCAGUUUUUCUUACCACUAUCACCAAGAGAUAUGCUAUCAAUUGCUCUCAGAAUAAGUGGUUUCCAUUCAUUUGACUAUGAAGUACUAAUUAAAUAUGGUAACAUUGACAAUGUAACCUAUAUCCAAAUCACAAGCAUAGAAAAAUUGUAUGUGUAAAGGCUAAAAAUAAAAAUCUUGAACAUAUUGACAGGGUGGAUAGUUAUAUUCUUGAGCUUACUGGAAAAAUUCCUUAGUGAUGGCUUGACAUUUGUGGGGCAGCGGGGGUGAAGAGACGCUAACAUAUGUUUGCCAAAUUACCUUAUUCACUCAACCUAAAUACACUAUUAUGUACCCAGUUUGAAAUAUAUAAGUAAUAUGUUUUCUUUCAAUACUGAAUAACCAGGACUAAAACUACAAACCAGUUAAAAAUAAUUAUACCUAUAAGAUUAUAGGACUAUGGGAUGACUGGAUUCCACUGAUGUUACCAAUAGUUAAAAGUUCAUAACAAUACAGAUAAAAAU